Molecule: long non-coding RNA, 446 nt
Filed under: Elaeis guineensis (African oil palm)
Lineage: Eukaryota; Viridiplantae; Streptophyta; Magnoliopsida; Arecales; Arecaceae
Description: long non-coding RNA (EGUI_LNC030214)
Source: RNAcentral
AUCUUUAUUUUACCCUUGCAUUUACUUUUACUUUACUUUAUUUAUCUUGCUUUACCUUAGUUUAUCAAUAAUUCUUGGAGUAAAAUCAUAGUCCUCGCUACAAUAUACCUCCUUUCUUUUUUGAAUAAGUGGUGUUAUGGUAGUCAAAGUUCUCGAAACUCAAGGCAUCAGGAUCCAUACUAUUAACCUUUUACAUUCUCUUCUUUUUAGUUUUGACAUUAGUGACAUGCCUGUGCACUUGCACAAACCUGCCAAGAGUGUGCAUACCAUUCCUUCCCCCACUAGAAAAUCUAGCAACCUACACAUCUUUUCUAACUUGCUUGGUGGCUAUAUAGAUAGCUGUUGUGAAAGAACAUGAUGCUCAAAUGUCACGAAUACCAAAGAGUCCACUUCACAUCCUAAGGAACCUUAGAGUUCUCAAGCUAGGUUGGCACGACAAUCUCCUC